CAAUCCCUAAACCACCAUGCUGAGAACGAGGUAGGGGGAGAGAAUAUAUCCCAAAGACAGUGUGGGGGAACUUUUUGCAGAGGAAGAGAGGAAAGUUCUGUGUACCAAAUACCAAUUGCUACAUACACUAAAAACAACAAAAACAGUGGACACCUUGAUUCCUCUGGGAUGGAAGAUGAGGAGGCAGAGAGAACAUUUGGGGCCAGCUACCAGCUUAUGGAUGGCCCCUCUUGCCAGUGUGGAGUGAUGCGUGUGGAGAAUGUGCAGGUGUCCAGAGCGGGAGGAGCCGAAUGAGGGGACAGAGCUUGGAAAACCUGGGGGCAAGAAAGACUGGUGGGAAGGAGAAUGGAAGAAAUUGAC
This is a long non-coding RNA of Phyllostomus hastatus (greater spear-nosed bat), 360 nucleotides long. RefSeq lists it as uncharacterized. Lineage: Eukaryota; Metazoa; Chordata; Mammalia; Chiroptera; Phyllostomidae. The transcript is spliced from 3 exons. The record is from RefSeq and is a predicted model, not a curated record.